CCGCGUGUGUGAAGAAGGCCUUCGGGUUGUAAAGCACUUUCAGUUGUGAGGAAAAGUUAGUAGUUAAUACCUGCUAGCCGUGACGUUAACAACAGAAGAAGCACCGGCUAACUCCGUGCCAGCAGCCGCGGUAAUACGGAGGGUGCGAGCGUUAAUCGGAAUUACUGGGCGUAAAGCGCACGCAGGCGGUUUGUUAAGCUAGAUGUGAAAGCCCCGGGCUCAACCUGGGAUGGUCAUUUAGAACUGGCAGACUAGAGUCUUGGAGAGGGGAGUGGAAUUCCAGGUGUAGCGGUGAAAUGCGUAGAUAUCUGGAGGAACAUCAGUGGCGAAGGCGACUCCCUGGCCAAAGACUGACGCUCAUGUGCGAAAGUGUGGGUAGCGAACAGGAUUAGAUACCCUGGUAGUCCACACCGUAAACGCUGUCUACUAGCUGUGUGUGUCUUUAAGACGUGCGUAGCGAAGCUAACGCGCUAAGUAGACCGCCUGGGGAGUACGGCCGCAAGGUUAAAA
This 510-nucleotide ribosomal RNA is filed under the name Alteromonas sp. RNAcentral's name for it is "bacterial SSU rRNA". It matches the Rfam family "Bacterial small subunit ribosomal RNA", at positions 397 to 899 of the family's 1533-position model. The record is from RNAcentral. Lineage: Bacteria; Pseudomonadati; Pseudomonadota; Gammaproteobacteria; Alteromonadales; Alteromonadaceae.